CAUUAUCUUAAUGGAACAGUGCGUUGUUGUUGCCGGGUGGAUUUUCUCCCUCUCUCUCCCUCUCUCCCUCUCUCUCCCCUCUCUCUCUCUCUCUCUCCUGCACACCACCGACUGGCUGCAUGUCACCCAGAUCACAGUCAAGAACCCUCCCUCACAAUCAUUCCAGUUGCUGAAUAAUACAAAGCAAACAGUGACCUACUUUCGGGAGCAGGGAACAAGCGAGAGGGAAGAGCCGGAGUGGAGUCCGGCGGGAGGCGGACCGGGCGGAGGAGCCGAGGCGGAGCAGGAGGCGGAGCAGCAGGAGGCGGGGGGGCGGCCUUCGUUUGAAAGCCUCCUUUCUGCACACUUUGUGAGCCUCCUGCAUUCCUGCAUUCUGCCCUUUGCUCCCUCUGCAGCUGCAGAGCGACGUGGAGCCGCGGCACAAAUGUGACAGACAGAAAAACAAAACAUGAACCAGAGAGUCGGUUGUCCUGGAGACAUGAUGCACCUACUUCACUGGAGGCCUUACAUCAUUGUUGUGCUGCAAAUGUUACAAAACGGAAAAAGGUGGAUGGGUGUCGCAUCCCGGAGUCCUCAGCAUCCUGGAGUCCUGCAGCAUCCUGUAGUACUCAGCAUCCUGUAGUCCUGCAGCAUCCUGUAGUACUCAGCAUCCUGUAGUCCUGCAGCAUCCUGUAGUACUCAGCAUCCUGUAGUCCUCAGCAUCCUGGAGUUCUGUAGCAUCCUUUAGUCCUCAGCAUCCUACAGUCUUCAGCAUCAUGGAGUCCUCAGCAUCAUGGAGUCCUCAGCAUCCUGGAGUCCUGCAGCAUCCUGUAUUCUGCAGCAUCCUGUAUUCCUCAGCAUCCUUUAGUCCUCAGCAUCCUGUAUUCCUCAGCAUCCUUUAGUCCUCAGCAUCCUGGAGUUCUGUAGCAUCCUGUAGUCCUCAGCAUCCUGGAGUCCUCAGCAUCCUGUAGUUCUGCAGCAUCCUGGAGUUAGGGGGUCCUGCAUGUCGGACUUCUCGUGAAGCAUUCCGCUCUGUGAAAGAAGAAGCAUUCUGUACUUGACACAGGAUAGAAAACAAUUAAUUAAAAAACAUGAAGAUCCAUCAUCUGAGGACCAUGAAUAUGAAGAUUACUUAUUGUGAUAUUUACAGUACCAGCAAAGAUUUUGACACAUUUUCUCAUUCAAUUCCAUCAGAAUGUGUAUCCAACCCUUUGACUGGUUCUGUGUGUAAGUGUAGGUAAAAGGAAAAGUUUGGAUUAGAGAAGCAAUCCAUUAUCUACUAUUAUCGAAUUUUAAUAAAACUAAAACUUGCCAAAGAAUUUGGAUGCUAGAUAUUUGAUUAUAUAUGUAUAACAUAGCAAACCUUUCUGUGUGAC
Gasterosteus aculeatus aculeatus (three-spined stickleback) is the source of this 1355-nucleotide long non-coding RNA. The record is from Ensembl. NCBI's taxonomy places the organism in Eukaryota, Metazoa, Chordata, Actinopteri, Perciformes, Gasterosteidae.